GCAGCAGAUAAGAUUUUCGGAUCUUGCUGAGUACUUGUGUGCUUGUGUCUAUUGAUAUCUGCCUGGAGUUCUCCAUCUUGAGUAGUUGCGUCUCUCAACAAUAAUAAUAGUGGAACAUAUGAAGAUGAAUUGUUAUUCUGCAAGAAGCUGAAGAUAUUGGCAGCUCCAACCAUUCCAUCAACGACGGUGAAUUUGUGUGAAUCAGUGGGUGGUAAGUAGGAAGCUACAUAACACUUGUCAGUGCAUUGCCGACCGUGGAUUUUGCAGGCAGCGCAUGGUCCAAGAUUACCAGCAUCAUCAGAAGGAUU
This 308-nucleotide unclassified non-coding RNA is filed under the name Hevea brasiliensis (rubber tree). Lineage: Eukaryota; Viridiplantae; Streptophyta; Magnoliopsida; Malpighiales; Euphorbiaceae. The record is from RNAcentral.